UACCAGCACCCCGAGUGGUCGGGACGUUUUAUUGGGCCUAAAGCAUCCGUAGCCGGUUCUACAAGUCUUCCGUUAAAUCCAGCUGCUUAACAGAUGGGCUGCGGAAGAUACUAUGGAGCUAGGAGGCGGGGAGAGGCAAGCGGUACUCGAUGGGUAGGGGUAAAAAUCCGUUGAUCCAUUGAAGACCACCAGUGGCGAAGGCGGCUUGCCAGAACGCGCUCGACGGUGAGGGAUGAAAGCUGGGGGGAGCAAACCGG
This 257-nucleotide ribosomal RNA is filed under the name uncultured bacterium. RNAcentral describes it as "partial 16S ribosomal RNA". It matches the Rfam family "Archaeal small subunit ribosomal RNA", at positions 474 to 727 of the family's 1478-position model. The record is from RNAcentral.